CGGAGGGUGCAAGCGUUAUCCGGAUUCACUGGGUUUAAAGGGAGCGUAGGUGGGUCGGUAAGUCAGUGGUGAAAUCCCCGAGCUUAACUUGGGAACUGCCAUUGAUACUAUCGAUCUUGAAUACUGUGGAGGUUAGCGGAAUAUGUCAUGUAGCGGUGAAAUGCUUAGAUAUGACAUAGAACACCAAUUGCGAAGGCAGCUGGCUACACAUAUAUUGACACUGAGGCUCGAAAGCGUGGGGAUCAAACAGGAUUAGAUACCCUGGUAGUCCACGCCCUAAACUAUGGAUACUCGACAUAUGCGAUACACUGUAUGUGUCUGAGCGAAAGCAUUAAGUAUCCCUCCUGGGAAGUACGAUCGCAAGAUUG
Molecule: ribosomal RNA, 368 nt
Filed under: uncultured organism
Description: bacterial SSU rRNA
Rfam family: Bacterial small subunit ribosomal RNA
Source: RNAcentral